UACGUAGGGUGCGAGCGUUGUCCGGAAUUAUUGGGCGUAAAGAGCUUGUAGGCGGUUUGUCGCGUCUGCCGUGAAAAUCCGGGGCUCAACCCCGGACUUGCGGUGGGUACGGGCAGACUAGAGUGUGGUAGGGGAGACUGGAAUUCCUGGUGUAGCGGUGAAAUGCGCAGAUAUCAGGAGGAACACCGGUGGCGAAGGCGGUUCUCUGGGCCUUACCUGACGCUGAGGAGCGAAAGCAUGGGGAGCGAACAGG
RNAcentral lists this ribosomal RNA (253 nucleotides) under uncultured bacterium. Its description in RNAcentral is "partial 16S ribosomal RNA". It matches the Rfam family "Bacterial small subunit ribosomal RNA", at positions 524 to 776 of the family's 1533-position model. The record is from RNAcentral.